This 894-nucleotide ribosomal RNA is filed under the name uncultured Actinomycetes bacterium. RNAcentral's name for it is "bacterial SSU rRNA". It matches the Rfam family "Bacterial small subunit ribosomal RNA", at positions 56 to 963 of the family's 1533-position model. Lineage: Bacteria; Bacillati; Actinomycetota; Actinomycetes. The record is from RNAcentral.
UGCAAGUCGAGCGAUGAAGUUUCUUCGGAAAUGGAUUAGCGGCGAACGGGUGAGGAACACGUGAAGAAUCUGCCCUCCACUUUGGGAUAACACCGGGAAACCGGUGCUAAUACCGAAUAUUGAAACAUAAGUGGCAUCACUGAGUUUUGAAAGAAUUUCGGUGGAGGAUGACUUCGCGGCCUAUCAGCUAGUUGGUGAGGUAAUGGCUCACCAAGGCAACGACGGGUAGCCGGCCUGAGAGGGCGACCGGCCACACUGGGACUGAGACACGGCCCAGACUCCUACGGGAGGCAGCAGUGGGGAAUAUUGGGCAAUGGAGGAAACUCUGACCCAGCGACGCCGCGUGCGGGAUGAAGGCCUUCGGGUUGUAAACCGCUUUCAGUAGGGAAGAAGCGAAAGUGACGGUACCUACAAAAGAAGCACCGGCUAACUAUGUGCCAGCAGCCGCGGUAAUACAUAGGGUGCAAGCGUUGUCCGGAAUUAUUGGGCGUAAAGAGCUCGUAGGUCGUUUGUUACGUCGGAUGUGAAAACCUGAGGCUCAACCUCAGGCCUGCAUUCGAUACGGGCAAACUAGAGUUUGGUAGGGGAGACUGGAAUUCCUGGUGUAGCGGUGGAAUGCGCAGAUAUCAGGAGGAACACCAAUGGCGAAGGCAGGUCUCUGGGCCAAUACUGACACUGAGGAGCGAAAGUCUGGGGAGCGAACAGGAUUAGAUACCCUGGUAGUCCAGACCGUAAACGGUGGGCACUAGUUGUGGGAACCUUCCACGGUUUCUGCGACGCAGCUAACGCAUUAAGUGCCCCGCCUGGGGAGUACGAUCGCAAGAUUAAAACUCAAAGGAAUUGACGGGGCCCCGCACAAGCAGCGGAGCAUGCGGCUUAAUUCGACGCAACGCG